RNAcentral lists this ribosomal RNA (468 nucleotides) under uncultured bacterium. Its description in RNAcentral is "partial 16S ribosomal RNA". It matches the Rfam family "Bacterial small subunit ribosomal RNA", at positions 28 to 507 of the family's 1533-position model. The record is from RNAcentral.
GACGAACGCUGGCGGCGUGCUUAACACAUGCAAGUCGAACGGAAAGGCCCUGCUUUUGUGGGGUGCUCGAGUGGCGAACGGGUGAGUAACACGUGAGUAACCUGCCCUUGACUUUGGGAUAACUUCAGGAAACUGGGGCUAAUACCGGAUAGGAGCUCCUGCUGCAUGGUGGGGGUUGGAAAGUUUCGGCGGUUGGGGAUGGACUCGCGGCUUAUCAGCUUGUUGGUGGGGUAGUGGCUUACCAAGGCUUUGACGGGUAGCCGGCCUGAGAGGGUGACCGGCCACAUUGGGACUGCGAUACGGCCCAGACUGCUACGGGAGGCAGCAGUCGGGAAUAUUGCACAAUGGGCGGAAGCCUGAUGCAGCAACGCCGCGUGCGGGAUGACGGCCUUCGGGUUGUAAACCGCUUUCGCCUGUGACGAAGCGUGAGUGACGGUAAUGGGUAAAGAAGCACCGGCUAACUACGUG